RNAcentral lists this ribosomal RNA (425 nucleotides) under uncultured bacterium. RNAcentral describes it as "partial 16S ribosomal RNA". It matches the Rfam family "Bacterial small subunit ribosomal RNA", at positions 355 to 769 of the family's 1533-position model. The record is from RNAcentral.
UGGGGAAUUUUGGACAAUGGGCGCAAGCCUGAUCCAGCCAUGCCGCGUGCAGGAAGAAGGCCUUCGGGUUGUAAACUGCUUUUGUCAGGGAAGAAAUCCUUUGGGUUAAUACCUCGAAGGGAUGACGGUACCUGAAGAAUAAGCACCGGCUAACUACGUGCCAGCAGCCGCGGUAAUACGUAGGGUGCGAGCGUUAAUCGGAAUUACUGGGCGUAAAGCGUGCGCAGGCGGCUUUGCAAGACAGAUGUGAAAUCCCCCGGGGCUCAACCUGGGAACUGCUUUGUGACUGCAAGGCUAGAGUGCGGCAGAGGGAGAUGGAAUUCCGCGUGUAGCAGUGUAAUGCGUAGAUAUGCGGAGGAACACCGAUGGCGAAGGCAAUCUCCUGGGGCCUGCACUGACGCUCAUGCACGAAAGCGUGGGGGAGC